RNAcentral lists this ribosomal RNA (492 nucleotides) under uncultured bacterium. RNAcentral's name for it is "partial 16S ribosomal RNA". It matches the Rfam family "Bacterial small subunit ribosomal RNA", at positions 29 to 507 of the family's 1533-position model. The record is from RNAcentral.
AGUGAACGCUGGCGGUAGGCUUAACACAUGCAAGUCGAACGGCAGCACAGUAAGAGCUUGCUCUUACGGGUGGCGAGUGGCGGACGGGUGAGGAAUAUAUCGGAAUCUACUUUUUCGUGGGGGAUAACGUAGGGAAACUUACGCUAAUACCGCAUACGACCUACGGGUGAAAGCAGGGGAUCUUUGGACCUUGUGCGAUUGAAUGAGCCGAUGUCGGAUUAGAUAGUUGGGGGGGUAAAGGCCCACUAAGGCGCGGAUAGGUAGCUGGUCUGAGAGGAGGAUCAGCCACAUUGGAGCGGGGACACGGACCAGACGCCUACGAGAGGCAGCAGUGGGGAAUAUUGGACAAUGGGGGCAAACCUGGUCCAGCCAUACCGCGUGGGUGGAGAAGGCCUUCGGUUUGUGAAGCCCUUUUGUUGGGAGAGAAAAGCAGCAGGUUAAUACGCCGCUGUUCUGACGGUACCCAAAGAAUAAGCACCGGCUAACUUCGUG